Molecule: ribosomal RNA, 501 nt
Filed under: uncultured bacterium
Lineage: Bacteria
Description: partial 16S ribosomal RNA
Rfam family: Bacterial small subunit ribosomal RNA
Source: RNAcentral
AUUGAACGCUAGCGGCAUGCCUUACACAUGCAAGUCGAACGGCAGCACGGGUGCUUGCACCUGGUGGCGAGUGGCGAACGGGUGAGUAAUACAUCGGAACGUACCUUAUCGUGGGGGAUAACGCAGCGAAAGCUGUGCUAAUACCGCAUACGCCCUGAGGGGGAAAGCGGGGGAUCGCAAGACCUCGCGCGAUUAGAGCGGCCGAUGCCUGAUUAGCUAGUUGGCGGGGUAAAAGCCCACCAAGGCGACGAGCAGUAGCUGGUCUGAGAGGACGAUCAGCCACACUGGGACGGAGACACGGCCCAGACUCCUACGGGAGGCAGCAGUGGGGAAUUUUGGACAAUGGGGGCAACCCUGAUCCAGCAAUGCCGCGUGAGUGAAGAAGGACUUCGGGUUGUAAAGCUCUUUUGUCAGGGAAGAAACACCGGCUCUAACACAGUCCGGGAAUGACGGUACCUGAAGAAUAAGCACCGGCUAACUACGUGCCAGCAGCCGCAGUAA